UUAUUUGAGAGUUUGAUCCUGGCUCAGGAUGAACGCUGGCGGCGUGCCUAACACAUGCAAGUUGAGCGAUUUACUUCGGUAAAGAGCGGCGGACGGGUGAGUAACGCGUGGGUAACCUACCCUGUACACACGGAUAACAUACCGAAAGGUAUGCUAAUACGGGAUAAUAUAUUUGAGAGGCAUCUCUUGAAUAUCAAAGGUGAGCCAGUACAGGAUGGACCCGCGUCUGAUUAGCUAGUUGGUAAGGUAACGGCUUACCAAGGCGACGAUCAGUAGCCGACCUGAGAGGGUGAUCGGCCACAUUGGAACUGAGACACGGUCCAAACUCCUACGGGAGGCAGCAGUGGGGAAUAUUGCACAAUGGGCGAAAGCCUGAUGCAGCAACGCCGCGUGAGUGAUGAAGGCCUUCGGGUCGUAAAACUCUGUCCUCAAGGAAGAUAAUGACGGUACUUGAGGAGGAAGCCCCGGCUAACUACGUGCCAGCAGCCGCGGUAAUACGUAGGGGGCUAGCGUUAUCCGGAUUUACUGGGCGUAAAGGGUGCGUAGGCGGUCUUUCAAGUCAGGAGUGAAAGGCUACGGCUCAACCGUAGUAAGCUCUUGAAACUGGGAGACUUGAGUGCAGGAGAGGAGAGUGGAAUUCCUAGUGUAGCGGUGAAAUGCGUAGAUAUUAGGAGGAAC
RNAcentral lists this ribosomal RNA (678 nucleotides) under Clostridioides difficile. RNAcentral describes it as "bacterial SSU rRNA". It matches the Rfam family "Bacterial small subunit ribosomal RNA", at positions 1 to 707 of the family's 1533-position model. Lineage: Bacteria; Bacillati; Bacillota; Clostridia; Peptostreptococcales; Peptostreptococcaceae. The record is from RNAcentral.